This is a long non-coding RNA of Nothoprocta perdicaria, 165 nucleotides long. RefSeq lists it as uncharacterized. The transcript has 2 exons. Lineage: Eukaryota; Metazoa; Chordata; Aves; Tinamiformes; Tinamidae. The record is from RefSeq and is a predicted model, not a curated record.
UGUUGUUCUGAUCCAGUCUUCGAGAUCACGGUGGCUUGGAGCGUAUCAGAUCGCUCCUUCGGGCCACAUACAUGGCAAGGGAGAGACAGAAUGGUUUUAAAGAUGUGCCAAAACUUUUCACUGAUGAUAAGCAAGAAUUUCCCUUUGCUACUGUGAUCUCACUGA